RNAcentral lists this ribosomal RNA (460 nucleotides) under uncultured bacterium. RNAcentral describes it as "partial 16S ribosomal RNA". It matches the Rfam family "Bacterial small subunit ribosomal RNA", at positions 338 to 795 of the family's 1533-position model. The record is from RNAcentral.
CCUACGGGAGGCAGCAGUGAGGAAUAUUGGUCAAUGGACGAGAGUCUGAAGCAGCAAAGUAGCGUGAAGGAUGACUGCCCUAUGGGGUGUAAACUUCUUUUAUAUGGGAAUAAAAUGUUCCACGUGUGGGAUUUUGUAUGUACCAUAUGAAUAAGGAUCGGCUAACUCCGUGCCAGCAGCCGCGGUAAUACGGAGGAUCCGAGCGUUAUCCGGAUUUAUUGGGUGUAAAGGGAGCGUAGGUGGAUUGUUAAGUCAGUUGUGAAAGUUUGCGGCUCAACCGUAAAAUUGCAGUUGAUACUGGCAGUCUAGAGUACAGUAGAGGUGGGCGGAAUUCGUGGUGUAGCGGUGAAAUGCUUAGAUAUCACGAAGAACUCCGAUUGCGAAGGCAGUUCACUGGACUGCAACUGACACUGAGGCUCGAAAGUGUGGGUAUCAAACAGGAUUAGAUACCCUAGUAGUC